CGUAACUAUAACGGUCCUAAGGUAGCGAAAUUCCUUGUCGGGUAAGUUCCGACCUGCACGAAUGGCGUAAUGAUGGCCAGGCUGUCUCCACCCGAGACUCAGUGAAAUUGAACUCGCUGUGAAGAUGCAGUGUACCCGCGGCAAGACGGAAAGACCCCGUGAACCUUUACUAUAGCUUGACACUGAACAUUGAGCCUUGAUGUGUAGGAUAGGUGGGAGGCUUUGAAGUGUGGACGCCAGUCUGCAUGGAGCCGACCUUGAAAUACCACCCUUUAAUGUUUGAUGUUCUAACGUUGACCCGUAAUCCGGGUUGCGGACAGUGUCUGGUGGGUAGUUUGACUGGGGCGGUCUCCUCCUAAAGAGUAACGGAGGAGCACGAAGGUUGGCUAAUCCUGGUCGGACAUCAGGAGGUUAGUGCAAUGGCAUAAGCCAGCUUGACUGCGAGCGUGACGGCGCGAGCAGGUGCGAAAGCAGGUCAUAGUGAUCCGGUGGUUCUGAAUGGAAGGGCCAUCGCUCAACGGAUAAAAGGUACUCCGGGGAUAACAGGCUGAUACCGCCCAAGAGUUCAUAUCGACGGCGGUGUUUGGCACCUCGAUGUCGGCUCAUCACAUCCUGGGGCUGAAGUAGGUCCCAAGGGUAUGGCUGUUCGCCAUUUAAAGUGGUACGCGAGCUGGGUUUAGAACGUCGUGAGACAGUUCGGUCCCUAUCUGCCGUGGGCGCUGGAGAACUGAGGGGGGCUGCUCCUAGUACGAGAGGACCGGAGUGGACGCAUCACUGGUGUUCGGGUUGUCAUGCCAAUGGCACUGCCCGGUAGCUAAAUGCGGAAGAGAUAAGUGCUGAAAGCAUCUAAGCACGAAACUUGCCCCGAGAUGAGUUCUCCCUGACUCCUUGAGAGUCCUGAAGGAACGUUGAAGACGACGACGUUGAUAGGCCGGGUGUGUAAGCGCAGCGAUGCGUUGAGCUAACCGGUACUAAUGAACCGUGAGGCUUAACCUUACAACGCCGAAGCUGUU
RNAcentral lists this ribosomal RNA (1013 nucleotides) under Escherichia coli. RNAcentral's name for it is "bacterial LSU rRNA". It matches the Rfam family "Bacterial large subunit ribosomal RNA", at positions 1935 to 2925 of the family's 2925-position model. Lineage: Bacteria; Pseudomonadati; Pseudomonadota; Gammaproteobacteria; Enterobacterales; Enterobacteriaceae. The record is from RNAcentral.